Molecule: ribosomal RNA, 341 nt
Filed under: uncultured bacterium
Lineage: Bacteria
Description: bacterial SSU rRNA
Rfam family: Bacterial small subunit ribosomal RNA
Source: RNAcentral
GACGAACGCUGGCGGCGUGCCUAACACAUGCAAGUCGAACGGAGAUAUAAGAAUCAGUUUACUGAAUCUAAUAUCUUAGUGGCGGACGGGUGAGUAACGCGUGGGUAACCUACCCUAAACACCGGGACAACAGCUGGAAACGGCUGCUAAUACCGGAUAAUCUCUUGAGAUGGCAUCGUCUUAAGAGGAAAGGUGGCCUCUUCUAUGCUACCGAUUAAGGAUGGACCCGCGUCUGAUUAGCUAGUUGGUAAGGUAAUGGCUUACCAAGGCGAUGACGGGUAGGGACCUGAGAGGGUGCCCCCCCANAAUGGAACUGAAACACGGUCCAUACACCUACGGGU